GUCUUCUCCAAGGUCUUCACCAUCGACUACUACUUCGAGGAGGUGCAGAAGCUCCGCUUCGAGGUGUUCGACAUCAACAGCAGCAGCGUCCCCUGCGGGCCCCGCGAGGACGACUUCCUGGGGGCCGCGGAGUGCACCCUGGGGCAGAUCGUGUCGCACAAGAAGAUCACAAAGCCACUGGUCCUCAAGCAUGGCAAGCACGCGGGCAAGUCCACCAUCACGAUAAUCGCCGAGGAGCUCUCGGGCAACAACAACUACGUGGAGUUGUUCUUCAGCGCGAGGAAGUUGGAUGACAAGG
Long non-coding RNA from Lethenteron reissneri (Far Eastern brook lamprey), 298 nucleotides. RefSeq lists it as uncharacterized. NCBI's taxonomy places the organism in Eukaryota, Metazoa, Chordata, Hyperoartia, Petromyzontiformes, Petromyzontidae. The record is from RefSeq and is a predicted model, not a curated record.